UUUAAUUUCCAUUAUUCCACAUGGUAUACAUUCUGAAAACAUCUUUGACAAAAUUUAUGAUCUAGGAAGCCUCUCAAUAGCUUUUGGCAUUUGAUUCAACAGGUAAUGCACUGUUUCCUCCCUAGAUUUCUCUGUUUCGUCUACUAUAUCCACCAGCCAAAAAGCACAAAAGCAGUUCCACUGAACACACACACACUCACACACACACCCCCACAACUGACCACCCCACCUCCAUUUCAGCUCAGCUCAGCUCAGUUCCGGGUGUCCAAAUCAAUCAGUUUUCCAACCCAUCCUUCUGAAAGCCAUGCCUGCUUGCUAAGCUUCACAAUCCCGAACCCGGAAAUCCUUUCAAUUUCUCAGUAAAACUAUAUUCGAUGGCUUGAAUGUCUUUAGGACUUCAUUAACCAUUUAGAAGCGGAGCCGACGAUGCGAGAGCAGAAGGGGAGCAAGCAUGUGAGGAACUCUGGUUGUGGGAGGAAGAAGCUGGUUCCUUACUAUUUUUAGGUAUACGAUUAUGUGCCCUGAUUGCAUGUUUAUUUAUCUUUGCAAAGCUUUCGUACUUGGAUUUUAAAUGUGUUUGGUUUGUGAAAAAUAAACGAGAAAACUAAUCAUGGGGACAUUCUUAUUCAACUUAAAUGUGUUUUAUUCAUCCGAUUACGCCUGAAA
This is a non-coding RNA of Malus domestica (apple), 666 nucleotides long. Lineage: Eukaryota; Viridiplantae; Streptophyta; Magnoliopsida; Rosales; Rosaceae. The record is from RefSeq and is a predicted model, not a curated record.